UUUAAACACGACCAUAAAUUUCCGUGUCCAAUUUUGAUCGUCCGUCUUAUUUAAAAAAAAUUUAUAAUUAGUAUUUUUAUUGUUCUUAUAUGAUAAAACAUGAAUAUUACUUUAUGCGUGACAUUUGUUUCUUAUAUUUUUUUCAAAAACUUUUCAAAUAAGAUGGAUUAAAGUUAACACGGAAACUCAUAGCAGCGCUUAAA
This is a non-coding RNA of Oryza nivara, 203 nucleotides long. The record is from Rfam. Lineage: Eukaryota; Viridiplantae; Streptophyta; Magnoliopsida; Poales; Poaceae.